UACCAGCGGUCCAAGUUGCAGCCACUAUUAUUGGGUCUAAAACAUCCGUAGCUUGUUUUGAAAGUCUCUUGUGAAAUUUUACAUCUUAAGUGUGAAGCGGGCAAGAGAUACUGCAAGGCUAGAGACCGGGAGACGUAGCGAGUACAAUUAAGGUAGCGGUAAAAUGUGUUAAUCUUAAUUGGACUAACAAUAGCGAAGGCACGCUACGAGCACGGAUCUGACAGUGAGGGAUGAAGGCUAGGGUCGCAAAACGGAUUAGAUACCCCAGUA
This 270-nucleotide ribosomal RNA is filed under the name uncultured prokaryote. RNAcentral's name for it is "partial 16S ribosomal RNA". It matches the Rfam family "Archaeal small subunit ribosomal RNA", at positions 474 to 743 of the family's 1478-position model. The record is from RNAcentral.